This 571-nucleotide long non-coding RNA is filed under the name Olea europaea (common olive). RNAcentral's name for it is "long non-coding RNA (OEUR_LNC005691)". Lineage: Eukaryota; Viridiplantae; Streptophyta; Magnoliopsida; Lamiales; Oleaceae. The record is from RNAcentral.
GGCAUUUCAAGCCUUCCAUGAAAAGAACCAGGAACGGCACGUCAAUUCAAAAGUAUCUCCAUUUACAAAGGAACGACUGGAGAACUUGUACAACCAUCUUGUUUUUUUGGCUCGGAAAGGUACUUUGUUUCUGCUUUCCUCGGAGUCAAUUCAAGUCAAACUUACUCCAGGAUCAUGGACUUCGAAGAAACUGAUCAUACAACAAGUUGCUCCAAUUUUUUAAGGACAACAAUCCUUGUGCAGGAAACAAAAGAACAAAGGUUGCCAAUGGUUCUCUCUCGACCAGGGGCGGAGCCCCUGCACUAGACCUGUCCUGAACUUUUAGAGCCAACUCAAUCCCUUUCAUUUUUUUUUCUUUUUUGAGAAUUGGCUUAUUUGGCUUUCCAAUUUACCAACGCAAUAGAAAAAAGUUGAAACAAAAAAAUAUAAUCUGACCAAAUCCAAAUCUGAAGACUGAAACCACAAAAUCUAGGUCUUGAAAUCUCUCAACAUCUUACUCUCGCCUCCGAGUCUCUCGCAUCGACCCCUUCCAUCGGCAAAAGAAGAGGGUCUCUCGUUUCUCGCCUUCCAC